RNAcentral lists this ribosomal RNA (253 nucleotides) under uncultured bacterium. RNAcentral describes it as "partial 16S ribosomal RNA". It matches the Rfam family "Bacterial small subunit ribosomal RNA", at positions 524 to 776 of the family's 1533-position model. The record is from RNAcentral.
UACGUAGGGCGCGAGCGUUGUCCGGAUUUAUUGGGCGUAAAGAGCUCGUAGGCGGCUUGUCGCGUCGACCGUGAAAACUUGGGGCUCAACCCCAAGCCUGCGGUCGAUACGGGCAGGCUCGAGUUCGGUAGGGGAGACUGGAAUUCCUGGUGUAGCGGUGAAAUGCGCAGAUAUCAGAAGGAACACCGAUGGCGAAGGCAGGUCUCUGGGCCGAUACUGACGCUGAGGAGCGAAAGCGUGGGGAGCGAACAGG